RNAcentral lists this ribosomal RNA (448 nucleotides) under uncultured bacterium. RNAcentral describes it as "bacterial SSU rRNA". It matches the Rfam family "Bacterial small subunit ribosomal RNA", at positions 330 to 793 of the family's 1533-position model. The record is from RNAcentral.
UCCAGACUCCUACGGGAGGCAGCAGUGGGGAAUCUUCCGCAAUGGGCGCAAGCCUGACCCAGCAACGCCGCGUGAAGGAAGAAGGCUUUCGGGUUGUAAACUUCUUUUGACAGGGAAGAGCAGAAGACGGUACCUGUCGAAUAAGCCACGGCUAACUACGUGCCAGCAGCCGCGGUAAUACGUAGGUGGCAAGCGUUGUCCGGAUUUACUGGGUGUAAAGGGCGUGUAGCCGGGCUUACAAGUCAGAUGUGAAAUCCGGGGGCUCAACCCCCGAACUGCAUUUGAAACUGUAGGUCUUGAGUAUCGGAGAGGCAGGCGGAAUUCCUAGUGUAGCGGUGAAAUGCGUAGAUAUUAGGAGGAACACCAGUGGCGAAGGCGGCCUGCUGGACGACAACUGACGGUGAGGCGCGAAAGCGUGGGGAGCAAACAGGAUUAGAUACCCUCGUAA